ACCGCGGGGUGAACUACCUACUCUCCUUCGUACUGUGCAUAUCUGAACCCGACCCAUUCCAGGGGGUGCACAGAUUUGUUGGUUCAAUACCCGCCAAUGGCUGAUUAACUCAUCAUGUUACAUUUGCUGACUUGAAUCAAGGCACAGUAGUUAGUUUUGCUGAACCACCCCAUUUUUCUUAAAUUUCGGUCAUUUCUCCAUCCUAUUCGUGGGACGGGAGUGUCACAAUACCACUCGAUAUAUCUUCCCUCAAGGUUUCUGCGGCUCAGCUGCAGAUUCUCCACACCUCUUCUCACAUUGAAUUGAUUCAACACAUACUAUAAAUAUCGCAACCAGGGUGCAUCUGACUUAUCCAAGUAUUUCUGUAAUGCCUGGGUUGAGGGCUGAGGUAUCCCCCAGGGGGGUUAACUAGAAACAGGGUACGGGUUCCAAUAACAGCGGUGGCUGUUAUUGUGUAUGACCUUUUUGGUCGAGUGGUUAAGGGCCAGUCUGUGCCUAGAAGCCAUUACAAUUUCAAGAAACCUACUAGAACCCCAAGAUUUCGAAUCUCUACCCUUCCUGUUCACUUUGUGUUUCAAAACGGACCCAGGUGCAUGGUAUAAAAUUGGCUAAAUGAGGGCUCCCUGCUCUUCAUUGACAAUCUGAGCUAUCCGAAGGUUGCUACAAUUAGUACACUCUCAACUUUCCAGUACAGCUUUAGUUUGAAAAGUUGACAUCUUUAAAGUGUAACUAUAAUUGUCAACAGCUUUCCAAGGUAUAAGAUCUCUGAGUUCUAAUUUGUCUCAUUUGUCGAAUAUCUUGGGGGUCUGUUGUGGCAUUCAUGGUAGCUUUCUUUAUAAAUCUAGGAAUUACAGCAGUCAGCCACGCCGGUAUCUUGUUGGUACGCAUGAGUAUGCUAACCAGUGUGAAUAAUAUGAGCCUUAGAAGAUAUUAAGAGCGGUUAACAGCUCCAGUAGUAAUGAAUGGCAUG
Molecule: small RNA, 970 nt
Filed under: Histoplasma capsulatum var. duboisii H88
Lineage: Eukaryota; Fungi; Ascomycota; Eurotiomycetes; Onygenales; Ajellomycetaceae
Description: Histoplasma capsulatum H88 hypothetical RNA
Source: RNAcentral